AUACGUAGGUGGCAAGCGUUAUCCGGAUUUACUGGGUGUAAAGGGCGUGUAGGCGGGAAAGCAAGUCAGGCGUGAAAACUAUGGGCUCAACCCAUAGCCUGCGUUUGAAACUGUUUUCUUGAGUGUCGGAGAGGUAAUCGGAAUUCCGUGUGUAGCGGUGAAAUGCGUAGAUAUACGGAGGAACACCAGUGGCGAAGGCGGAUUACUGGACUGUAACUGACACUGAGGCACGAAAGCGUGGGUAGC
Molecule: ribosomal RNA, 246 nt
Filed under: uncultured bacterium
Lineage: Bacteria
Description: partial 16S ribosomal RNA
Rfam family: Bacterial small subunit ribosomal RNA
Source: RNAcentral